AGUAAUACAUAAGUAACCUGCCCUAGACAGGGGGAGUAACUAUUGGAACGAUAGCUAAGACCGCAUAGGUACGGACACUGCAUGGUGACCGUAUUAAAAGUGCCUCAAAGCACUGGUAGAGGAUGGACUUAUGGCGCAUUAGCUGGUUGGCGGGGUAACGGCCCACCAAGGCGACGAUGCGUAGCCGACCUGAGAGGGUGACCGGCCACACUGGGACUGAGACACGGCCCAG
RNAcentral lists this ribosomal RNA (232 nucleotides) under uncultured bacterium. RNAcentral's name for it is "partial 16S ribosomal RNA". It matches the Rfam family "Bacterial small subunit ribosomal RNA", at positions 109 to 334 of the family's 1533-position model. The record is from RNAcentral.